GGGUUUGUGGUCUAGUGGUAUGAUACUCCCUUAGCACUAUCACAUUGUUGAAGUCCUACAUGGGAGUGGUCCGGGGUUCAAUUCCCCGCGAAUCCA
Non-coding RNA from Aplosporella prunicola CBS 121167, 96 nucleotides. The record is from the annotation of a RefSeq genome assembly. Lineage: Eukaryota; Fungi; Ascomycota; Dothideomycetes; Botryosphaeriales; Aplosporellaceae.